RNAcentral lists this long non-coding RNA (502 nucleotides) under Sarcophilus harrisii (Tasmanian devil). RNAcentral's name for it is "lncRNA (ENSSHAG00000027047.1)". The record is from RNAcentral. Lineage: Eukaryota; Metazoa; Chordata; Mammalia; Dasyuromorphia; Dasyuridae.
CAAACAUAUGGCAACUUUUGGAGCUACCUGCUUUCCAGCUGUUAUUGCUCUCUCUGGAGUCCAGAAUGGACACAAGUGGAUAUGAAAAAUUCCACAAAUUGCAUCUGAAAUGCCACCCCCCAGACAUGAACAAUGAAAACAAACUCCUAUAACAAGCAAAACAGACUUCCACAUUAGUGAUGCUCAAAAAUGUGAAUGUGUUUCAGAGACAAAGUGGCCCAGGUUAUAACCUGUGAAUUUCAAAAAUUCAGAAGAGCUUUCAAAAGUCUCCUUGGCAACCAGAGCUUGUAGCAUUUGGAGCUAAGUCUUUGUGAAGAAUCAGCUCUGAGGAGUAACUUCAGUCCAUUAGGAAAUUGACCUGCCAGCUAAUAUACUAUGUUCUGAAAGUGAGAUUUCUUAUCCAUUGGGUUCUGAACUUGGUGGUAGGGGGAAUGUUUUAUAACAAAUGUUUUAAAUUUGGGUUCAUUUCCUUGAUAACUAAGUUCUUGUGCUUCAGUCUUUG